UAAUAGGUAUUCAAAUGUGAGGGCUCUGAAUUGCUAUUCAACGCACAGGCCGAAUACAUUUUCAAAUUUUGGGACCAAAAUAGCGCUUUCUUCUCCCCAAUUUCUGCUCCAGAUUUGUUCCAACCUUUUUCCCCAAAUCAAGAAUCCAUCCGCCCUUCAUCUUCAUCUACUCAAAGGUACGUUUUCUUUUUUUUACUUCAAGCUCCUAAAACAGGAUUCUAUUUCUCCUUCCUUAUAAUUACUCCAGAUUUCUUGUCUGCGUUUCAAAGUUGAGACCUUUGUUUAGUCUUCUUUUGGCCUGUAGCAUGUCAAAUUCUUUUUUUCUUUUGUUCCUGAAUUAGGAUUUUUGUGUAAGGCGGCUAGGGUUUUUAUUUGACCUUCAUCUGUCAUCUAUUAUAAUAUACUGCAUUCCUUCAUCUUUAUUUUUUUCAUACUGCUCUUCCUUUAACUCUAGCAAACUUCCUAACAAUUUCUUGCAUUUUUUUCCCAUUUCUUUUAUUAAAUUUCAUACUUUAACUUUAAGAAUUCUCAUAGUUUUUUUCUCUUUAAACUCGUUUUUCAUCCAAAUUAUCUUCUGGGUACUUUUUACUAUUUGCUAAGCAUUGAGCAUUCAUUAUCUUCAUUCUCAAGUUUUUCGUUUUGGCUUCUUUUUUUAUACUGGUAACUUUUUGUUGUUUAGUAUUUUUAUUACACAUACCGAUCUCAUUUUUUUUCUUUUUUUAAUCGGAUUGUUAUAUUCAUUGAAUUCAAUCUGGUUUUAUUAUUUUUGUCAAGAAAAAUAAGUUUUGGAUUUUGAUACAAUUUUUGGAUUACUUCAAUAAUUUGAUUGUUAUCCAUUUGAGAUUUUGUUGUCUUGCAUCUUUGUUAGUUUUAAUUGAUAGCAUUGAUCCAAUUUGAAUAUCAACUAUUUUAAGUUCUGGCUUGGGUUACUUGCAUAUUCUUAGUAUUUGGUUCUAAAGCUAGGGGAAGUCAUACUACUUUUGUUUCACUUGUUAUGCAGGCCCUUGUUUGGUUGUAUUUUGAUGAGAUAAAAUAUGAUCUAUAAGAGUGUAUACGGUUUCUUUUUUGUUGGUUUCAUUUCAACUCACAUUGGCAUACUUGUUCUUACAAAUUUUUUACAGGUUGGGUAAACCAAUUUGCUAAUGCUGGUGAUGCUACUAUAGAAAUAGCAGAAAACACUGCCUUACGGGUGAGUUCUUCAGUUCAUGAUUGUAAUAAUCCGCUGAAAAUCUCUAAAUCACUUAAGUGUGAAUAUUGCUUGAUGUAUUUAAUUAUUAUUAUGACUGUUUGUCUGUUUCAAAUGCCUGUUGGAGGUGGUUGCCUUGAAACUUUGCGAACAUAGAGAAGGUGGUUUAACAUUUGUUUGUGAACUGCAGUCUUAUCUUGAAUGUAAAUUUUGCUGUAAAUGUUUUUGUCGUACACUUGUCAGCCUUCUGCUUUCUAGUCUUUUGAGCAUGCUUUACUAAAUUUGCAUUAAAAUUGCCCCCUGAGUUAAUAGUCUUGGGAUAGAGUUGGAUUCGAUUAUAUAGAUUCUGCUCCCAUGAGUUCUUGAACUUAAAGCCUGUAGCAUGUCUUCGUUAGUUUUGUUAUAUACAUAUUUUUUCUAUUUCCAAUUCAUGACUAGUCAAAGCUUGUUAUUUGUUUGACAGGAAAGUAUUGCGGUAAAAUUUUAGAUCCAUUGGAAGAAGGUUGCAAGCUUCGCCCCAUUGUUAGUAAAGGGCAGGUAUUAUUUCAAUUUGGUUGUUUGGUUUUAGGUGCUUUAAAGUUACUCUAACGAUGCUAUGAACUUUCUUAUUAGUUUUUUUAUGCGUCCAAUAAAAGGACAAAUUAUAGAAAUGAAAGGCUAUUGCUCUACAAUUUAUAAUCAAUAAACCAAAUGCUGAUAAGGCUCUACUACUAUUAAUAAUCGCCAUAAUUACAUGAAAACAAUCAAAUUCAAUUAUGAUAUUAUCGGUACCAAAUACUUUCAGCCUAAAAAGAAGUUUAGAGAGUGCAAACUCAAUAGCUAAUUUAGGCUUCAACCAUAAAAGAGAAUGACCAGAAAGUAUUUUUCAUAAAAUUACCAUCCAAAUUUCAGAUUAAAGCUGCAAAAUUUGUCGACCCUUCGGCCAUAAUACAAGCCGUAUCUAAGUUGCAUUUUAAUUUACUACCAGUAGGCCUAAUCCAAACGGAACCACUAGAUCAUCUCAUAGUAUUAGUGCUCAUCACUCUAUCAAAAAUGCCUGAUGCAUUUCUCCAACUUUUCAGAAAUGAGGCAAACGACUGUAUGUAGUAAAAUUCUGUCUGAUCGACCUUUUGUCUCACUGACAAAACCAACAUUUAUAUACUCUUCAUAUCUCAUCUACCAAAGGUGUUAUUCUAAUGUUCGUAUUCGUAUUGUAUGGUUGUUUUCCAUGAAUAGUUAUUGUUUGAGACACAGUAGAACUGCAAUCAUAAGACAGUAAAGGAUCAUGCUUGGUUAGGUUAUUGGAGGAAAUGCGUUUUGAGGGAAAGCUUUAUUCCAAGCGGAAAGGAAUGUGUAAAUCAUAUGUAAGAACAUGAGAUGCUUAACAUGAUUAUGUACAGGUUAUUGUGGGAAUUGUGGUCUCUAUGUUCUAUAUCCGCAAUCAUAGAUGAA
This 2617-nucleotide long non-coding RNA is filed under the name Gossypium barbadense (sea-island cotton). Its description in RNAcentral is "long non-coding RNA (GBAR_LNC008086)". Lineage: Eukaryota; Viridiplantae; Streptophyta; Magnoliopsida; Malvales; Malvaceae. The record is from RNAcentral.